AGAGUUUGAUCAUGGCUCAGGAUGAAUGCUAGCGGCAGGCUUAAUACAUGCAAGUCGAACGGCAGCGGGUCCAGCAAUGGAUGCCGGCGAGUGGCGCACGGGUGCGUAACACGUAUGCAACCUACCUUUAACCGGGACAUAACCUCGAGAAAUCGUGGCUAAUAUUCCAUAAUAUCUUUGAAUCGCAUGAUAUGAAGAUCAAAAUUCCGAUGGUUUUAGAUGGGCAUGCGCGACAUUAGCUAGUUGGUGAGAUAAAGGCUCACCAAGGCUACGAUGUUUAGGGGGUCUGAGAGGAUGAUCCCCCACACUGGUACUGAGACACGGACCAGACUCCUACGGGAGGCAGCAGUAGGGAAUAUUGGGCAAUGGGCGCAAGCCUGACCCAGCCAUGCCGCGUGCAGGAUGACAGCCUUACGGGUUGUAAACUGCUUUUAUACGGGAAAAAACCCUCUGACGUGUCAGAGGCUGAUGGUACCGUAAGAAUAAGCAUCGGCUAACUCCGUGCCAGCCGCCGCGGUAAUAC
Molecule: ribosomal RNA, 523 nt
Filed under: uncultured Sphingobacteriales bacterium
Lineage: Bacteria; Pseudomonadati; Bacteroidota; Sphingobacteriia; Sphingobacteriales
Description: bacterial SSU rRNA
Rfam family: Bacterial small subunit ribosomal RNA
Source: RNAcentral